GAGUUUGAACCUGGCUCAGGAUGAACGCUGGCGGCGUGCCUAAUACAUGCAAGUCGAGCGAACCACUUCGGUGGUGAGCGGCGAACGGGUGAGUAACACGUAGGUGAUCUGCCCAUCAGACGGGGACAACGAUUGGAAACGAUCGCUAAUACCGGAUAGGACGAAAGUUUAAAGGUGCUUCUGGCACCGCUGAUGGAUGAGCCUGCGGCGCAUUAGCUAGUUGGUAGGGUAAAGGCCUACCAAGGCGACGAUGCGUAGCCGACCUGAGAGGGUGAACGGCCACACUGGGACUGAGACACGGCCCAGACUCCUACGGGAGGCAGCAGUAGGGAAUCUUCGGCAAUGGGCGAAAGCCUGACCGAGCAACGCCGCGUGAAUGAUGAAGGCCUUCGGGUUGUAAAAUUCUGUUAUAAGGGAAGAACGACUUUAGUAGGAAAUGGCUAGAGUGUGACGGUACCUUAUGAGAAAGCCACGGCUAACUACGUGCCAGCAGCCGCGGUAAUACGUAGGUGGCGAGCGUUAUCCGGAAUUAUUGGGCGUAAAGAGCGCGCGGGUGGUUGAUUAAGUCUGAUGUGAAAGCCCACGGCUUAACCGUGGAGGGUCAUUGGAAACUGGUCGACUUGAGUGCAGAAGA
Molecule: ribosomal RNA, 634 nt
Filed under: uncultured bacterium
Lineage: Bacteria
Description: bacterial SSU rRNA
Rfam family: Bacterial small subunit ribosomal RNA
Source: RNAcentral